Molecule: ribosomal RNA, 494 nt
Filed under: uncultured bacterium
Lineage: Bacteria
Description: bacterial SSU rRNA
Rfam family: Bacterial small subunit ribosomal RNA
Source: RNAcentral
UCCUGGCUCAGGAUGAACGCUAGCGGGAGGCCUAACACAUGCAAGCCGAGCGGUAGAGAGUAGCUUGCUACUCUUGAGAGCGGCGUACGGGUGCGUAACACGUGUGCAACCUGCCUUUAUCUGGGGGAUAGCCUUUCGAAAGGAAGAUUAAUACUCCAUAAUAUAUUAGAUGGCAUCAUUUAUUAUUGAAAGCUUAUGCGGAUAGAGAUGGGCACGCGCAAGAUUAGUUAGUUGGUGAGGUAACGGCUCACCAAGGCGAUGAUCUUUAGGGGGCCUGAGAGGGUGAUCCCCCACACUGGUACUGAGACACGGACCAGACUCCUACGGGAGGCAGCAGUGAGGAAUAUUGGACAAUGGGUGCAAGCCUGAUCCAGCCAUCCCGCGUGAAGGAUGACUGCCCUAUGGGUUGUAAACUUCUUUUGUAUAGGGAUAAACCUACCCUCGUGAGGGUAGCUGAAGGUACUAUACGAAUAAGCACCGGCUAACUCCGUGCC